RNAcentral lists this ribosomal RNA (490 nucleotides) under uncultured bacterium. RNAcentral describes it as "partial 16S ribosomal RNA". It matches the Rfam family "Bacterial small subunit ribosomal RNA", at positions 30 to 507 of the family's 1533-position model. The record is from RNAcentral.
AUUGAACGCUGGCGGCAGGCCUAACACACGCAAGUCGAACGGUAACAGGAAGAAGCUUGCUUCUUUGCUGACGAGUGGCGGACGGGUGAGUAAUGUCUGGGAAACUGCCUGAUGGAGGGGGAUAACUACUGGAAACGGUAGCUAAUACCGCAUAACGUCGCAAGACCAAAGAGGGGGACCUUCGGGCCUCUUGCCAUCGGAUGUGCCCAGAUGGGAUUAGCUAGUAGGUGGGGUAACGGCUCACCUAGGCGACGAUCCCUAGCUGGUCUGAGAGGAUGACCAGCCACACUGGAACUGAGACACGGUCCAGACUCCUACGGGAGGCAGCAGUGGGGAAUAUUGCACAAUGGGCGCAAGCCUGAUGCAGCCAUGCCGCGUGUAUGAAGAAGGCCUUCGGGUUGUAAAGUACUUUCAGCGGGGAGGAAGGGAGUAAAGUUAAUACCUUUGCUCAUUGACGUUACCCGCAGAAGAAGCACCGGCUAACUCCGUG